Molecule: ribosomal RNA, 291 nt
Filed under: Escherichia coli
Lineage: Bacteria; Pseudomonadati; Pseudomonadota; Gammaproteobacteria; Enterobacterales; Enterobacteriaceae
Description: partial 23S ribosomal RNA
Rfam family: Bacterial large subunit ribosomal RNA
Source: RNAcentral
GGGACACGUGGUAUCCUGUCUGAAUAUGGGGGGACCAUCCUCCAAGGCUAAAUACUCCUGACUGACCGAUAGUGAACCAGUACCGUGAGGGAAAGGCGAAAAGAACCCCGGCGAGGGGAGUGAAAAAGAACCUGAAACCGUGUACGUACAAGCAGUGGGAGCACGCUUAGGCGUGUGACUGCGUACCUUUUGUAUAAUGGGUCAGCGACUUAUAUUCUGUAGCAAGGUUAACCGAAUAGGGGAGCCGAAGGGAAACCGAGUCUUAACUGGGCGUUAAGUUGCAGGGUAUAG